GUAACUACAAAGCAUUACAUGUCUCAUAUUCUGUUUAAUAAUCUUACUUUGACCUCUCAUUUAUUCUAAGUUUUUAGCUCCUUGGAUAUCUUUUCCUCCCAGUGUUAAUGGAAUUUCAGCACUUCGUCUUAAAAUCCAUGGGUUCAACUAACUAUGCUGAACAAGAUAUCUGCAUAAGUAGAAAAUUUAUCCCUCUCUUUUGCAGCUGCAGGAAAAAUGUUAUUCCAGAUCAUAAACCCUCCUUGCAAGAAAAAAGUAUUUUGCAACAUCUAGAAUUUAGAUAUAAUUGCCAUCUAGAGUGAGCAAAUCUCAAACUCUGAAAUAUCUAUCAUUUUGAUUGAUUGUAUUAUUUACCAAUGUGUUAUGCCCAGGUAAUAACAUCUCUGUUGUCAAACGAAAGCUAGAAAGAUAUUACACAAAGGUAAAAUAUAAUAAAUCAACUCUGGUAGAUGUCUUAAAGUGUUUUGUUUUUUGCAUUUCCAAUGGCAGAUGAAAUCAGGGCAAGAAACCGAAGUAAUGAUUACUCACAAGUAAGAAUACUUGCUUGCUGAACACUUGCUGAAGACACACUUAAUAAUUUGAAAUUGUUCAAUCAGCAUCAUACAAUAUUAUUAAAAUUAACUAAUAUAUCCACAUGCACUAUCUAAAUGCCAAACACCAAGAAAAAAAUGCAGCAGAGCACGAAAAAUAAUUUUUCAUUGGAAACAAUUUCUCAGCAUUUUCUUACGUACAAUGAAAGACAGAAGACAACAAAGAGAAACCCCUUUAAAGAUUACAUCCCUGCUGAAGAACUCAUAAUGUCAAACACAUUCUACUUCAUCACAACAGACUGCCUUACUGGCCCUAAAUGUCACUUAAAGAAAAUGAUAUCCACCCAACAGGGGCUUGGUUUUGCUUAUUGAGCCAUUGGUGAUCAUGGCCAUUAACAUUACAUAUAUACUGGUGAGGAAGCUGGAUAAACAAAAGGACCAUUUAGCAAGACAGAAGAACAUGAGAAGAGAGAUUUUGUUGGAAAGGUAACAAGUUCCAUUCUGGAUAUAUAGAGUGUGCAAAGCCUAUAAGACACCCAGUGUGAAAUAGUCAGUGUGCAUUUCAACACGUGAAGCAGGGGCUCAGGGGAGAGUAAGCAGGUAUGUGUUGCUCAGAGCACCAGGAAUGGAGAAGGCCACAGGGGAGGAUAUGGAGACAGAAGAAGGCAGAUGAAAGCUUUCAGCUUGAAGCACACCAGUACCAAGGGGUGAAAGAUAAGAAGGGCUGGUGUGGGGCGUGAAACAGGUGAGGAUGGCCAGAGAGCAACAAAGAGAGAAGUGGUAGGCAUGUGUCAAAGAAAACAGGACAAGGUUGCAAGAACAGAAUGGUGGAAAACAGUGUCUAGCAGAGGCUAAAUAAGGACUGGAAAACAAUUCCUGGAUUUAGGAAACUAGAAAAUCAUUGGUAACCUUAGUGAGGAUAAUUCCACAAAGUGGUUUUUAUCUCCCUGGCUGUGGUGAGUGUUGGAGGAGCUGGGGAGUACUGACAGUGGAAGACAUGCCUGGAAGAAGAGGUGACAGUGCAGGAGAUGCCAAGUCCAGCCAGCAAGGGUGAUCCACUCUGUGAAAUGCUGGGCUGUGGGGGAACAGGAGGAGGAUGCUAAAGAGGACAAGACGUUUGAGGAAGGGGUUUUGUUUAAAGAAGAGACACCCGAGCUUAUGUACAGCUUGGGAAGCAGAGACAUCAAAAAUACAGGAGGGAGUGGCUUGAUGCUGCCAGGCUCCCUGGAAGUGGGAGGGGACUACUGGAGUCAAGGUGGAGAAUUUUCCUUCCACUUUUGCAGCCCUCCUCUCCUGGAGAGACCAGGGCUAAAGGCAUAUAACUCUGCAAGCAGGAGCAGCCAGGGAGACUUUCAGAUGCUAAAAGGAGGAGGUCAAACUUCCGGACCUUCCCACCUCUGCCCUUAAACUUUUAAUGUGAUACCCAAGUUAUCAGAACACCGUGAGAAACAGGGACCCCAGCAUCUAUGGUUUUUAAAUCUCCCCUAAAAUGACUUCAGUGUCCAGCCAUGCUUGGGAAUGACCACUUUCAACUUUUUGCCACUUUCCACACAUAGCCAUCCUCUCUCUGACAAUUUGGUAAAAUGUGCCUUUUAUCUUAGAAACAAGUAUUUAUUAUCUCAGGUGGCCUUUAAAUACCUCUUCCUGAUACUGUUAGUUGGGACGUUUGUUGCCUUGUGAUUUAAAUUCAAAAUCUUCUAAUGAAAUGGGUUAUUUGUUUUCCAUAAGGAUUUUAAAAGGCAGCUCUCUUUAUAUUCAUAUACCUCAAUUCUUCAAAUUUCCCCCCAAAUAAUAAAUCUAAUAAUUUAAGAAGAAAAAAAAGUCUGUAUCUUAGAAAUUCAAGUUCAUGAUUACCUACAGGGUAAACAUAAGUUUCAUUGAUUCCAAAAAACAUACGAAGUAUAUUAUAAUUAAUGGCAUAUAUGAAAUUAUAGCUAAUGACCACGCAAUGGAGAUAAAUGGAUGAUACCAAAAGGCACGUAGAUACCCAUAAGCUUCCUGGCCCUGGAAUUCCUCACCAUGACCCACAAAGCUCUGGAUGUGGCUGCUUCCUGAUCUAUCCAGUGCUGCUCUUGUUCCUGCUCCAUGCACUCCAACAACACUGGCCUUCUGAAAAUUUUGUAGUCAUAGAACCAUUACUGCCUUUCCCUUUUUAGUUACUGUUCUAUAUGCCUCGAGUACUAUACACACCCUGCAGUUGGCAUGGCCCACCCCUUCUCUUGAUGGCUCUGCUGGAUGGUUCCUCAGCCCCAAACAGCAGGGUCCCUGGUGCUCUCAAUUGGGCAGGCCAUGAAGCCAGCGUUUCCUCUGCCCGGUGUGUUUGCCCAUACCUACUACACAAAGUCAUUAACCAGCAUUUAUGUCACUGUCCUAAGCUUGGCUGAGGGAUGAGGGUCGGGUGGCAGGUAAAGUGGGAAAUAAAAGUAAAAAUUGCUGAAAAUGAACAUGGAAUGAAGAGUGCUCUACACCCUUUUAUGUCUGUGAAGUCCAGCUUGCUGAGAGGUUGACUCACCACUAAAGCCAAAAAGCCUCUGGUUAGGAGAAAGGUGGUAGCUCUUUAAAACCAAAUCCAUUUCCCCUGCUAAGUGCAUUCAUUUCUCCUAAUCUGCACUGUGAGGCUGAUGAUCUUACCUUGCUUUUCUAUUCUCUCCCUCAUCUAGAAAACAAAGCUAUUUUUAAAACCACGAAUCUCUGACAAGAACAAAGUCAACAUUUUGGAAAAAUAGUGAUUUUUUUUAAAAAGUACCUUUUGA
Molecule: long non-coding RNA, 3283 nt
Filed under: Homo sapiens (human)
Lineage: Eukaryota; Metazoa; Chordata; Mammalia; Primates; Hominidae
Description: HSALNT0093010
Source: RNAcentral